This 423-nucleotide ribosomal RNA is filed under the name uncultured bacterium. RNAcentral's name for it is "bacterial SSU rRNA". It matches the Rfam family "Bacterial small subunit ribosomal RNA", at positions 358 to 773 of the family's 1533-position model. The record is from RNAcentral.
GGAAUAUUGGACAAUGGGCGCAAGCCUGAUCCAGCAACGCCGCGUGGAGGAUGAAGGUCUUCGGAUUGUAAACUCCUGUCAGGCGGGACGAAGGGCUGCGACCUAAUACGUCGUAGCUUUGACGGUACCGCCAGAGGAAGCCCCGGCUAACUCCGUGCCGGCAGCCGCGGUAAUACGGAGGGGGCAAGCGUUAUUCGGAAUUAUUGGGCGUAAAGGGCGCGUAGGCGGCCCUGUAAGUCACGGGUGAAAGCCCUCGGCUCAACCGAGGAACAGCCCUUGAUACUGCAAGGCUCGAGGCCGGGAGAGGGUGGUGGAAUUCCCAGUGUAGCGGUGAAAUGCGUAGAUAUUGGGAGGAACACCCGUGGCGAAGGCGGCCACCUGGACCGGUUCUGACGCUGAGGCGCGAAAGCGUGGGGAGCAAAC